GACAAAUAUACUAAUUCCCUGCGGUGCAGCUGAAACUGUACUCCUAAUUAGCAGUAUGCACCCGCUCCUCCCCUCCGCCCAGCCUCCUCUGGGACCUGUCCCGGGAUGAAAGGUGUGGCCCCUGAGUCUCUGAAGGUGCCUGUCUGUGAUGCGGCCGAGUUCCCCUUAGAGAAACACGUACAACUGUGUCAUUUAAUCGCGUGGGUGAAGGAACUCAAAUAAUGGUAGUUUUGUGCUGACUAGAGGCAUUUUUUAAUUCGGUGAAGGAAAGAGAGAGAGAGAGAGAGAGAGAGUUCUUGCAAGGCCAUCGAGAACAGUUGAGAUAUGUCCCGUCCACAAUUCUGCAUACCCACAUUUCUCCCAUUUUUCCAACACCAACAUGAUGAGUAUUUGUCCUGAACCUUCCCGGCUCUGCCGCGGGGAAGUCUCCAGGCCCUGCUCCUCGGCAUCCAGAGCUGGGACACACAGGCCAAGCUCACGGGUGUGAAAGACAUCAGCCCAAACCACCAGGAACAAGCCUGCAGAUGACAAGAUCCGUUUAUCGUAUCCAGGGGCCUGAGAUGGCUGUACUUGUGCUAACGCUGAACUUAAGGUGGAAUGGCCUUAAUUUUCUCUGCCUCCACAAUAAAGACGUCCAAGAUUCGCGAAGUGAAGAAAUUAAAAUAAGUGGAGAAAAAGCUAACUGUAAAAAAACUUCAUGCCUGUCUAUCCAGAGGUAA
This 719-nucleotide long non-coding RNA is filed under the name Vulpes vulpes (red fox). RNAcentral's name for it is "lncRNA (ENSVVUG00000020211.1)". Lineage: Eukaryota; Metazoa; Chordata; Mammalia; Carnivora; Canidae. The record is from RNAcentral.